GCGUUGAAGCGGGAGGUUGCGACCUGUGAGGUCGGUUUUUCCGUGGAGUAUGUCCGAUUUCAAACCGGGCGACAA
This 75-nucleotide non-coding RNA is filed under the name bovine gut metagenome. Its description in RNAcentral is "S10-Clostridia ribosomal protein leader". It matches the Rfam family "S10-Clostridia ribosomal protein leader". The record is from RNAcentral. RNAcentral also lists the same sequence under 1 other name.